Molecule: ribosomal RNA, 938 nt
Filed under: uncultured Burkholderiales bacterium
Lineage: Bacteria; Pseudomonadati; Pseudomonadota; Betaproteobacteria; Burkholderiales
Description: bacterial SSU rRNA
Rfam family: Bacterial small subunit ribosomal RNA
Source: RNAcentral
GCAAGUCGAACGGUAGAGGGGGCAACCCCUCGAGAGUGGCGAACGGGUGAGUAAUAUAUCGGAACGUGCCCAGUCGUGGGGGAUAACGUAGUGAAAAUUACGCUAAUACCGCAUACGAUCUAAGGAUGAAAGCGGGGGACUCGCAAGGGCCUCGCGCGAUUGGAGCGGCCGAUAUCAGAUUAGGUAGUUGGUGAGGUAAAGGCUCACCAAGCCAACGAUCUGUAGCUGGUCUAAGAGGACGACCAGCCACACUGGAACUGAGACACGGUCCAGACUCCUACGGGAGGCAGCAGUGGGGAAUUUUGGACAAUGGACGCAAGUCUGAUCCAGCCAUUCCGCGUGCAGGACGAAGGCCUUCGGGUUGUAAACUGCUUUUGUACAGAACGAAAAGGUCUCUAUUAAUACUAGGGGCUCAUGACGGUACUGUAAGAAUAAGCACCGGCUAACUACGUGCCAGCAGCCGCGGUAAUACGUAGGGUGCAAGCGUUAAUCGGAAUUACUGGGCGUAAAGCGUGCGCAGGCGGUUAUAUAAGACAGAUGUGAAAUCCCCGGGCUCAACCUGGGAACUGCAUUUGUGACUGUAUAGCUGGAGUGCGGCAGAGGGGGAUGGAAUUCCGCGUGUAGCAGUGAAAUGCGUAGAUAUGCGGAGGAACACCGAUGGCGAAGGCAAUCCCCUGGGCCUGCACUGACGCUCAUGCACGAAAGCGUGGGGAGCAAACAGGAUUAGAUACCCUGGUAGUCCACGCCCUAAACGAUGUCAACUGGUUGUUGGGUCUUCACUGACUCAGUAACGAAGCUAACGCGUGAAGUUGACCGCCUGGGGAGUACGGCCGCAAGGUUGAUACUCAAAGGAAUUGACGGGGACCCGCACAAGCGGUGGAUGAUGUGGUUUAUUCGAUGCAACGCGAAAACCUUACCCACCUUUGACAUGUACGGAA